This 707-nucleotide ribosomal RNA is filed under the name uncultured bacterium. RNAcentral's name for it is "bacterial SSU rRNA". It matches the Rfam family "Bacterial small subunit ribosomal RNA", at positions 8 to 710 of the family's 1533-position model. The record is from RNAcentral.
AGAGUUUGAUCAUGGCUCAGAUUGAACGCUGGCGGUAUGCCUAAUACAUGCAAGUCGAACGGUAACAGGCUUUUCGGAGUGCUGACGAGUGGCGGACGGGUGAGUAACGCGUGGGAAUCUGCCCUGUAGCGGGGGACAACCUUAGGAAACUGAGGCUAAUACCGCAUACCUUCUACGGAAGAAAGUAGGCCACUGAAUAUGCUUACACUACAGGAUGAGCCCGCGUUGGAUUAGCUAGUUGGUAAGGUAAUGGCUUACCAAGGCUACGAUCCAUAACUGGUCUGAGAGGACGACCAGUCACACCGGGACUGAGACACGGCCCGGACUCCUACGGGAGGCAGCAGUAGGGAAUAUUGGGCAAUGGGCGCAAGCCUGACCCAGCAAUGCCGCGUGUGUGAAGAAGGCCUUAGGGUUGUAAAGCACUUUCAGGAGGGAAGAAAAGGUUAGGAAUAAUACGCCUAACUCAUGACGUUACCUCCAAAAGAAGCACCGGCUAACUCUGUGCCAGCAGCCGCGGUAAUACAGAGGGUGCGAGCGUUAAUCGGAAUUACUGGGCGUAAAGGGUGCGUAGGCGGUUAGAUAAGUUAGAUGUGAAAUCCCUGGGCUCAACCUGGGAACUGCCUCUAAAACUAUCUAACUCGAGUGCAGUGGAGGAAAGUGGAAGUUCCGGUGUAGCGGUGAAAUGCGUAGAUAUCGGAAGGAACAUC